Molecule: long non-coding RNA, 227 nt
Filed under: Vigna radiata
Lineage: Eukaryota; Viridiplantae; Streptophyta; Magnoliopsida; Fabales; Fabaceae
Description: long non-coding RNA (VRAD_LNC015990)
Source: RNAcentral
GAGGAGACAUCUUGCUACAAGUCUUGUUGUGUUUUGCUGCCUAUAGUUUGGUUAAGGGUUAGAGAGGAGAUUUAUAUUUUUGACGUGGAGGUCUUCUAUAAAUUCCUUGUUGUAAAAACUGCAACCAUUAUAGUGCAUUUUUUCUUGUGACGGAAGGACACAGGAUGUAGGCAUUGUUGGCCGAACUAGCAUAAAAACCAGUGUUUGAUUUUGAUAAACCACCAAUU